This 667-nucleotide long non-coding RNA is filed under the name Homo sapiens (human). RNAcentral's name for it is "HSALNT0156987". The record is from RNAcentral. Lineage: Eukaryota; Metazoa; Chordata; Mammalia; Primates; Hominidae.
GUUUCGCUGUCCUGUACCUGGAGCGGGCGGGGCAGCUGUCAGUGAAGCUCUACGGUAUGUGGGGGCCAGCCUCUGUGACCAGGCAGGCGCUCAAGCUCUGCACACUCACUGGGCCACCCCGAGGGGCUGGGUGAGCCCAUGGGGACACACUUCCUUUCUCCCAUCCUGAUCCUCCUGCUAAGCAGGGGCCCAGGGAGUAGUGACAGACAGGCCUGGUGUGGGAGCAGGGAGAGGGCCCCGAGGGGGCAGGGGACACACAGACCCCGUUUCCAGAGCCCUCCACGCCGCCUGGUGCCAGGACCCCAGGAACCCUGUCUGCCCUGCAGCCCGCUCGCUCCCUGUGAGCGACUCGGUCCUGAGUGGGUUUGAGCAGCGGGUCCAGGAGGCCCACCUGACUGAGGACCAGAUCUUCUACUUCCCCAAGUACGGCUUCUGCGAGGCUGCAGACCAGUUCCACGUCCUGGACGAAGUGAGGAGGUGAGGCCGGCACACAGCUCCAGUGCUGAGAAGUCAGUGCCCCGAGAGACGACCCCACCAGUGGGGUGCCCGCUGCCUGUCCUCCGUGAAACCAGCCUCAGAUCAGGGCCCUGCCACCCAGGGCAGGGGAUCUUCUGCCGGCUGCCCCAGAGGACAGUGGGUGGAGUGGUACCUACUUAUUAAAUGUCUC